RNAcentral lists this small RNA (610 nucleotides) under Pan troglodytes (chimpanzee). RNAcentral's name for it is "retained intron". The record is from RNAcentral. Lineage: Eukaryota; Metazoa; Chordata; Mammalia; Primates; Hominidae.
CCUGGACGCGGCGCUGACCGGGGAGCUGGAGGUGGUGCAGCAGGCGGUGAAGGAGGUGAGCGCUGCUGAGCGGGAGGUGGGCGCGGCGGGGGCAUCGCAGAUGCCAGCCGCGGGACUGAGUCUUCCCCCUCCCCCGGUGCACUCAGAUGAACGACCCGAGCCAGCCCAACGAGGAGGGCAUCACUGCCUUGCACAACGCCAUCUGCGGCGCCAACUACUCCAUCGUGGAUUUCCUCAUCACCGCGGGUGCCAAUGUCAACUCCCCCGACAGCCACGGCUGGACACCCUUGCACUGCGCGGCGUCGUGCAACGACACAGUCAUCUGCAUGGCGCUGGUGCAGCACGGCGCUGCAAUCUUCGCCACCACGCUCAGCGACGGCGCCACCGCCUUCGAGAAGUGCGACCCUUACCGCGAGGGUUAUGCUGACUGCGCCACCUACCUGGCAGACGUCGAGCAGAGUAUGGGGCUGAUGAACAGCGGGGCAGUGUACGCUCUCUGGGACUACAGCGCCGAGUUCGGGGACGAGCUGUCCUUCCGCGAGGGCGAGUCGGUCACCGUGCUGCGGAGGGACGGGCCGGAGGAGACCGACUGGUGGUGGGCCGCGCUGCA